GAAACUUAAAGGAAUUGACGGGGGCCCGCACAAGCAGCGGAGCGUGUGGUUUAAUUCGAUGAUACGCGAAGAACCUCACCCAGGUUUGACAUGCAUGUGGUACCAAGGUGAAAGCUGAGGGACCCUUCGGGGAGCAUGCACAGGUGUUGCACGGCCGUCGUCAGCUCGUGCCGUGAGGUGUUGGGUUAAGUCCCGCAACGAGCGCAACCCCUGUCGCCAGUUGUAUUUUUCUGGCGAGACUGCCGAGAAAACCUCGGAGGAAGGAGGGGACGAUGUCAGGUCAGCGUGGCCCUUACGCCUGGGGCUACACACACGCUACAAUGGGCAGUACAACGGGUCGCGAAGCCGCGAGGUGGAGCCAAUCCCAUCAAAGCUGUCCUCAGUUCGGAUUGCAGGCUGAAACCCGCCUGCAUGAAGCCGGAGUUGCUAGUAACCGCACGGUUCACGCACUUACUGCGGUAGUAAAGUACGUUCCCGGGCCGUU
RNAcentral lists this ribosomal RNA (484 nucleotides) under uncultured Chloroflexota bacterium. RNAcentral's name for it is "bacterial SSU rRNA". It matches the Rfam family "Bacterial small subunit ribosomal RNA", at positions 896 to 1382 of the family's 1533-position model. Lineage: Bacteria; Bacillati; Chloroflexota. The record is from RNAcentral.